Molecule: non-coding RNA, 30 nt
Filed under: Rattus norvegicus (Norway rat)
Lineage: Eukaryota; Metazoa; Chordata; Mammalia; Rodentia; Muridae
Source: RNAcentral
UUGAUUUGGGGACUUAACUAGCUUUUGUGA